UAAUACGGAGGAUCCAAGCGUUAUCCGGAAUCAUUGGGUUUAAAGGGUCCGUAGGCGGUUUUAUAAGUCAGUGGUGAAAUCUUUCGGCUCAACCGAGAAAUGGCCAUUGAUACUGUAAGACUUGAAUUAUUAUGAAGUAACUAGAAUAUGUAGUGUAGCGGUGAAAUGCUUAGAUAUUACAUGGAAUACCAAUUGCGAAGGCAGGUUACUAAUAAUUGAUUGACGCUGAUGGACGAAAGCGUGGGUAGCGAACAGGAUUAGAUACCCUGGUAGUCCACGCCGUAAACGAUGGAUACUAGCUGUUGGGCGCAAGCUCAGUGGCUAAGCGAAAGUGAUAAGUAUCCCACCUGGGGAGUACGUUCGCAAGAAUG
RNAcentral lists this ribosomal RNA (371 nucleotides) under uncultured bacterium. Its description in RNAcentral is "bacterial SSU rRNA". It matches the Rfam family "Bacterial small subunit ribosomal RNA", at positions 521 to 896 of the family's 1533-position model. The record is from RNAcentral.